AUCCUUUUAUAGUUCAUAAGCAUGAUGAUUGGGUGUUCACGGGGCCGCGUGACGUGUGCCUCCCUCAAUCCUUGUUACGACAGUGGCACAUUACCCGUCCGACG
Molecule: small nucleolar RNA, 104 nt
Filed under: Catagonus wagneri (Chacoan peccary)
Lineage: Eukaryota; Metazoa; Chordata; Mammalia; Artiodactyla; Tayassuidae
Description: Small nucleolar RNA U13 (ENSCWAG00000001810.1)
Rfam family: Small nucleolar RNA U13
Source: Rfam by way of RNAcentral